AUGUUUAGAAAAAAGAAAUGGACGUCGUUGUGUCCCUAUACAAUUCCUAGCUUAAAGGCUUCCUUUUUCAGUUGAAAGUAGAUAUUGAAAUUUCUGGUGGCAUCAAAAGUUUCAAAGCAAUAAACACUGGCCGUUUCUUUCUGUCAUUUAAGGUUACAUUUAGCUGCAGAGGAAAAAGAAGAAGGUUCUUGAUUUAGAGAGAGAUUGGAUGCUUUUCUUCUGCCUUUUUAUGUGUCAAGCAGGAACUCGGCAGAGAGAGAGAAGCAAGGUCCACUA
RNAcentral lists this unclassified non-coding RNA (276 nucleotides) under Hevea brasiliensis (rubber tree). Lineage: Eukaryota; Viridiplantae; Streptophyta; Magnoliopsida; Malpighiales; Euphorbiaceae. The record is from RNAcentral.